CGGGGGUUCACAAACCAACAACAAGAGAUCAAGUAAUGUCUUAUUCUACAGGGAAAGCUGAUACAGAUUCAUACGGGUUUUACGAAAGCUGACUAGCGAAACGCUUUAGUGAAGAAAAGCGUGUGAAAACAGAGCAAAACGGGCGCAAAUCGCUUCUUUAAGCUGAAACCAGCCGAGUGAAGCAAGAAGAGAAUGGUGCAGCGCAGCGUGCUCGUCGUUCUCGUGCUGUUUGGCGUCGCCUUCAGCAGUGGUCAAGAAUUUAAAUGGAAAUACAUUGAGCAGCUGCGGUGGAAACUCCAACAGCUCGAAAGACUACAUCAGCUGAGCAAGGCAAUUGACGAGGUGGCGCCCUUCAGAAUCUCCGGUUAUAUCUUAACCACAUCAACUACUGGUAACGCAAGAGCCCAGGAAUUCCCCAGGGAAGAUCCCGACGCAACAGCCAAGCGCACAACACAAACUUUGCCCCCCUCAACAGUCAAACCAACGCCAACAACAACAACAGUAACAUUAAAGAGAACGCCCAUGGAGGUCGCUCCGGGGUCCACCUAUAACGUUCAAGUGGCAAGUAGAUUGCGCAGGCCGGCUGUGAUGGAUGAUGUAGGACCGUACGAUUAUGAACCCGGAUGGCGGGGAGGAAGGAGGGGUAGGGACGUUGACUUUGUGCUCAACGACGAGGAGGGGUGGUAAGAAUCAGAGUUGAAAGAGAACUGAUGCAGCAACAACCCGCUCAGCAGGCAUUUAGGAAAUUGGAUCCAAAUUUUUAUUAUAACUAUGAAGUAUUGCUUUAUUUAUUCAUUUAUCCUUUUCUGAUACGAGUACGUUUUUCACAAUGACUAUGACCUUACUAUUUACAUUUAUAUUUUAACUACAAUAACAAUUUACAAAGAGAAAUGUUUAUUUUAUUAGGCCAUUAACUUCAUUUAUUUGCUUGUUUUUGAAAAGUUGCAUUUGUUGAAGACAUUUUUAAUGAUGAAUCUUAAGGUCAGCGAUUCUAUUUUUACAAGAUCUACUCAUUAAAUUGCCAAUAUUUAUUUAAAAGCUCGGCGCCUUGCCAUUUUAGGUCUUGUUGAUUAGAUUAUGAAACCUUAACACGUGUGCCGCUCCUUAAUAUGAAUAUGGAAUAUGACUAUUGUUGAAACCGAAACUUAGAUUAGAAAUAAUUAAAACACGAUUGUCCUUGUUGUUUCUCACUGGCUACAUUUCAUUUGUUUAGGCUGACGUGCAAAAUUCCAGGUUUUAAACAUAUAAUCAUUUUUCCCUUUUUCUCUCUACAAUAUAAUUCUGUUUUUAUGAUGCAACAAUAUUGUUUUUAGAACUCAUAGAAUGGAUAAAAGCAAGCAAGAGUGACCUAUGAUAUAAAUUAAAGUGAAUGUUGAAUUUUGAAAUAUUGAUGUUCAAACUCAUUUUUUUCUUAGAUACACUAAGAUACAUACGUA
RNAcentral lists this unclassified non-coding RNA (1436 nucleotides) under Lingula anatina. RNAcentral's name for it is "cubilin, transcript variant X3". The record is from RNAcentral. Lineage: Eukaryota; Metazoa; Brachiopoda; Lingulata; Lingulida; Lingulidae.